GACUGUGCAAAGGUAGCAUAAUCAAUUGGCUUAUAAUUAAGGUCUGGUAUGAACGAAUAAUUGGGUAGUAACUGUCUUAAUGUAUUUUUAUAAAUUUAGUAAGCAAGUGAAAAUACUUGCUCAGUUAUAAAAGACGAGAAGACCCUAGAAACUUAUAUGUGUUUUUGUUGGGGCGACAGGAUUACAAUUAACUAAUCUUAUUUUACAAGACGUAUAACAGGAAGAUUAAGUUACUCUAGGGAUAACAGCAUAAUUUUAAUAGCUUGUGACCUCGAUGUUGGACUAGGUACAGAACUCC
This 298-nucleotide ribosomal RNA is filed under the name Cornu aspersum (brown garden snail). Its description in RNAcentral is "Helix aspersa (brown garden snail) partial 16S ribosomal RNA". Lineage: Eukaryota; Metazoa; Mollusca; Gastropoda; Stylommatophora; Helicidae. The record is from RNAcentral.